This is a long non-coding RNA of Solanum stenotomum, 910 nucleotides long. RefSeq lists it as uncharacterized. NCBI's taxonomy places the organism in Eukaryota, Viridiplantae, Streptophyta, Magnoliopsida, Solanales, Solanaceae. The record is from RefSeq and is a predicted model, not a curated record. The transcript is spliced from 2 exons.
CUGACUUUGCACUACUAACCAUUACUGCUGACCUGUUAAGCUUUGUUGUUGUUGAUAUAUCAAGAACUAGUGCUGAUGGAUCUGCAAUUUGAAGGGGUACUUGAUAUUCUGCCUCAGCUAACUCUUUGAAGAUUAAUAUAUCUUCCUCUUCUUUUUGAUAUGUCUGUACUACUACAAUAGCACCAUAUUCCUGUAUAUUAGGAUGCUUGAAACUACUAACAUUGGAUUUUGCUCUGCAGAUGCAACACUCAGCUACCUCUCACCUUCUCCAGUCUCUGCAUCUAUUCUUACUCGUUGAUGUUGAGAUUUUUGACCCAGCAACUCCCUUAUUUCCCCAUUAUGAUGUGUGGCUACUUUAUUAAUAUUUUCUUGCUUUGUGGUUCUAUUACUGCUGCUUGUUGAUUCCCCUCUCUUUCUUUGAUAAUUGGCAAAAUCAUUUGUUAUUCACUCCUUUGUAGAUGAAUGAUGGUGUCAUUUACUAAUUUUUCCCUGGCUUCUGACUUCACUAGGUUUAUCAGUGCUAUCAUUUACCCUAGUAGAUUCCUCAGGAUGCAUCUCUUCAUUCUUCUCAAACAGAGAAGCAAAAGCAUUAUCAGCGCUAUCUCUUGGGCCUUUUACAUGGACAGUUCAGGAUGGAAGCUUCUGCACAUUUCCUCCCCGUGACCUUGUACUUUACAUUGUUUACAAUAUUUGGGAAGUAUAUCAUAUUGGAUCUUAACUCUUUAUAUUCUAGACUCAGUUGUCUUUUUGUUAAUGAUCUCUAUUUCCACAUGUUUAGGAAAAUCACCUAACAGGUCCACUUGCCCUUGACCCUUGCACAAUUAGGCCUAGUUUUAUUAAUUAUAGCCAUAUCUAAAUGUAAUGGUUUUCUAACAGCCGUAGCUAAUGAAAACAAAGGCUCUUUCACAAA